Molecule: ribosomal RNA, 257 nt
Filed under: uncultured Pseudomonas sp.
Lineage: Bacteria; Pseudomonadati; Pseudomonadota; Gammaproteobacteria; Pseudomonadales; Pseudomonadaceae
Description: partial 16S ribosomal RNA
Rfam family: Bacterial small subunit ribosomal RNA
Source: RNAcentral
AUGGUGGGCACGUCUAAGGAGACUGCCGGUGACAAACCGGAGGAAGGUGGGGAUGACGUCAAGUCAUCAUGGCCCUUACGGCCUGGGCUACACACGUGCUACAAUGGUCGGUACAAAGGGUUGCCAAGCCGCGAGGUGGAGCUAAUCCCAUAAAACCGAUCGUAGUCCGGAUCGCAGUCUGCAACUCGACUGCGUGAAGUCGGAAUCGCUAGUAAUCGUGAAAUCAGAAUGUCACGGUGAAUACGUUCCCGGGCCUU